AUUAGAUACCCCGGUAGUCCCAGCUGUAAAUAAUGCGGACUGUGGUCUUGCUUCAGAGUUAAUCUGCAGCAGUGCUGUAGCGUAGGUGUUAAGUCCGCCGCCUGGGGAGUACGGCCGCAAGGUUGAAACUUAAAGGAAUUGGCGGGGGAGCACCACAAGGGGUGGAUGCUACGGUUUAAUUGGAUACAACGCCGUGAACUUCACCAAGGGCGACGGCAGAAUGAAGGCCAGACUAAAGAUCUUGCCUAACAAGCCGAGAGGUGUUGCAUGGCCAUCGUCAGCUCGUGGCGUGAGUUGUCUGGUUAAGUCCAGCAACGAGCGAGACCCAUACCAUUAAUUGCUACUUUUACCUUUAGUAAGAGGCACCUUAAUGGGGCUGCCCGCGUUAAGUGGGAGGAAGGAGUGGGCGACGGUAGGUCAGUAUGGCCCGAAUCCCUUGGGCUACACGCGGCAUACAAUGGCUGGAACAAUGGGUUGCUACUCCGAAAGGAGGCGCUAAUCCCCUAAAUCCAGUCUUAGUUCGGAUUGAGGGUUGAAACUCACCCUCAUGAAGCUGGAAUCCCUAGUAAUCGCGUGUCAUCAUCGCGCGGUGAUACGUCCCCGCUCCUUGCACACACCGCC
This 621-nucleotide ribosomal RNA is filed under the name uncultured euryarchaeote. Its description in RNAcentral is "bacterial SSU rRNA". It matches the Rfam family "Archaeal small subunit ribosomal RNA", at positions 728 to 1350 of the family's 1478-position model. The record is from RNAcentral. Lineage: Archaea; Methanobacteriati; Methanobacteriota.